GACGAACGCUGGCGGCGUGCCUAAUACAUGCAAGUUGAGCGAUGAAGCUUGGUGCUUGCCCCAAUUUGAAGAGCAGCGAACGGGUGAGUAACGCGUGGGGAAUCUGCCUUUGAGCGGGGGACAACAUUUGGAAACGAAUGCUAAUACCGCAUAACAACUUUAAACAUAAGUUUUAAGUUUGAAAGAUGCAAUUGCAUCACUCAAAGAUGAUCCCGCGUUGUAUUAGCUAGUUGGUGAGGUAAAGGCUCACCAAGGCGAUGAUACAUAGCCGACCUGAGAGGGUGAUCGGCCACAUUGGGACUGAGACACGGCCCAAACUCCUACGGGAGGCAGCAGUAGGGAAUCUUCGGCAAUGGACGAAAGUCUGACCGAGCAACGCCGCGGGAGGGAAGAAGGGUUUCGGAUCGUAAAACUCUGUUGGUAGAGAAGAACGUUGGUGAGAGUGGAAAGCUCAUCAAGUGACGGUAACUACACAGAAAGGGACGGCUAACUACGUG
RNAcentral lists this ribosomal RNA (497 nucleotides) under uncultured bacterium. RNAcentral's name for it is "partial 16S ribosomal RNA". It matches the Rfam family "Bacterial small subunit ribosomal RNA", at positions 28 to 507 of the family's 1533-position model. The record is from RNAcentral.